GAUGAACGCUGGCGGCGUGCCUAAUACAUGCAAGUCGAGCGAACAGACGAGGAGCUUGCUCCUUUGACGUUAGCGGCGGACGGGUGAGUAACACGUGGGUAACCUACCUAUCAGACUGGGAUAACUUCGGGAAACCGGAGCUAAUACCGGAUAAUAUUUCGAACCGCAUGGUUCGAUAGUGAAAGAUGGCUUUGCUAUCACUUAUAGAUGGACCUGCGCCGUAUUAGCUAGUUGGUAAGGUAACGGCUUACCAAGGCAACGAUACGUAGCCGACCUGAGAGGGUGAUCGGCCACACUGGAGCUGAGACACGGUCCAGACUCCUACGGGAGGCAGCAGUAGGGAAUCUGCCGCAAUGGGCGAAAGCCUGACGGAGCAACGCCGCGUGAGUGAUGAAGGUCUUCGGAUCGUAAAACUCUGUUAUUAGGGAAGAACAAACGUGUAAGUAACUGUGCACGGCUUGACGGUACCUAAUCAGAAAGCCACGGCUAACUACGUG
RNAcentral lists this ribosomal RNA (497 nucleotides) under uncultured bacterium. RNAcentral describes it as "partial 16S ribosomal RNA". It matches the Rfam family "Bacterial small subunit ribosomal RNA", at positions 28 to 507 of the family's 1533-position model. The record is from RNAcentral.